GCAACUUUGGUUGACCUUGUACUCAAUCAUGGCCUAACAAUGACCGAAGCUGGUCCAGUCCAGCCGAAUUUGAGCCGCUUCACGGUAGCCUUAGUUAUCUGGGCAUUUAGAGAUAAGAAUAGAAUAGAAAGACGACCAGCAAGAGGUGGCAGAGGCCGGAAAUUUACAGAUGAGCAAGAGACCACCAUAAUCAACAUGACGGAGCCUGAGGUGACAGUGACGAGAAAAAACUCCUUGGAAGACUUCCAGGACAGAGACCAGUAAUCCAUACAUGCAUGAGUAAGACCAGGAAACUAGCCACCCCAAAAAAAGGGGUCACAACUGCUGCAAGUAAAGAUUGUCCCCCCAUCAUGCGCAAUGCCUGCACACUUC
Molecule: long non-coding RNA, 372 nt
Organism: Anguilla anguilla (European eel)
Lineage: Eukaryota; Metazoa; Chordata; Actinopteri; Anguilliformes; Anguillidae
Exons: 3
Source: RefSeq, a predicted model, not a curated record